UGUUAAAAUUUUCAUUCAUUUCUACUAUUAAAAAUCUGUGUGGGUGACGAAAUAACUAGACAAUUACACUUGGUGUACCACUUGAACAUCAUGUUUACAUAUAGGAACUAGUUUUUAAUCUUAAAAAUAGAUGAAUUUUAUAUCA
Non-coding RNA from Gossypium raimondii (Peruvian cotton), 145 nucleotides. The record is from Rfam. NCBI's taxonomy places the organism in Eukaryota, Viridiplantae, Streptophyta, Magnoliopsida, Malvales, Malvaceae.